CGUAAAGUUUAGCAGCGGUUGCUUAAUAAUCUCAUCAGUUAUCUAAUAAAGGUUCGAAUCCUUUCUUUACAA
Molecule: transfer RNA, 72 nt
Filed under: Phaeocystis antarctica
Lineage: Eukaryota; Haptophyta; Phaeocystales; Phaeocystaceae
Description: tRNA-Met
Rfam family: tRNA
About the family: Transfer RNA (tRNA) molecules are approximately 80 nucleotides in length.
Source: RNAcentral